UCCGCCUGGGUACUACGAGCACAGCUUAAAACCCAAAGGACUUGGCGGUGUCUCAGACCCACCUAGAGGAGCCUGUUCUAGAACCGAUAACCCCCGUUAAACCUCACCACUUCUUGUUUUCCCCGCCUAUAUACCGCCGUCGUCAGCUUACCCUGUGAAGGCCUAGCAGUAAGCAAAGUGGGCUCGCCCCAAAACGUCAGGUCGAGGUGUAGCGCACGAAGUGGGAAGAAAUGGGCUACAUUUUCUACAAUAGAAUAUUACGAAUGGCACCCUGAAACAAAUGCCUGAAGGUGGAUUUAGUAGUAAAAA
RNAcentral lists this ribosomal RNA (309 nucleotides) under Pangasius sp. JAAG-2007. RNAcentral describes it as "partial 12S ribosomal RNA". It matches the Rfam family "Bacterial small subunit ribosomal RNA", at positions 868 to 1344 of the family's 1533-position model. The record is from RNAcentral. Lineage: Eukaryota; Metazoa; Chordata; Actinopteri; Siluriformes; Pangasiidae.